Molecule: non-coding RNA, 27 nt
Filed under: Mus musculus (house mouse)
Lineage: Eukaryota; Metazoa; Chordata; Mammalia; Rodentia; Muridae
Source: RNAcentral
UACUUGCUCUCUCAGCUCCGCAGCUGG